RNAcentral lists this ribosomal RNA (506 nucleotides) under uncultured bacterium. RNAcentral's name for it is "partial 16S ribosomal RNA". It matches the Rfam family "Bacterial small subunit ribosomal RNA", at positions 29 to 523 of the family's 1533-position model. The record is from RNAcentral.
AUUGAACGCUGGCGGCAGGCCUAACACAUGCAAGUCGGACGGUAGCACAGAGGAGCUUGCUCCUUGGGUGACGAGUGGCGGACGGGUGAGUAAUGUCUGGGGAUCUGCCCGAUAGAGGGGGAUAACCACUGGAAACGGUGGCUAAUACCGCAUAACGUCGCAAGACCAAAGAGGGGGACCUUCGGGCCUCUCACUAUCGGAUGAACCCAGAUGGGAUUAGCUAGUAGGCGGGGUAAUGGCCCACCUAGGCGACGAUCCCUAGCUGGUCUGAGAGGAGUACCAGCCACACUGGAACUGAGACACGGUCCAGACUCCUACGGGAGGCAGCAGUGGGGAAUAUUGCACAAUGGGCGCAAGACUGAUGCAGCCGUGCCGCGUGUAUGAAGAAGGCCUUCGGGUUGUAAAGUACUUUCAGCGGGGAGGAAGGCGGUGCGGUUAAUAACCGCACCGAUUGACGUUACCCGCAGAAGAAGCACCGGCUAACUCCGUGCCAGCAGCCGCCGUAA